GAUUUUGAAGAAUUUAUGAAGUACCUUAAAGACCAUGAGAAGAAAAUGAAGUUGGCAUUUAAGAGUUUAGACAAAAAUAAUGAUGGAAAAAUUGAGGCUUCAGAAAUUGUCCAGUCUCUCCAGACACUGGGUCUGACUAUUUCUGAACAACAAGCAGAGUUGAUUCUUCAAAGCAUUGAUGUUGAUGGGACAAUGACAGUGGACUGGAAUGAAU
Molecule: unclassified non-coding RNA, 214 nt
Filed under: Hevea brasiliensis (rubber tree)
Lineage: Eukaryota; Viridiplantae; Streptophyta; Magnoliopsida; Malpighiales; Euphorbiaceae
Source: RNAcentral